CGGGGCGUGGCGCAGCCUGGCAGCGCGCCUGCUUUGGGAGCAGGAGGUCGCUGGUUCGAAUCCAGUCGCCCCGACCA
RNAcentral lists this transfer RNA (77 nucleotides) under Candidatus Acetothermia bacterium. RNAcentral's name for it is "tRNA-Pro". It matches the Rfam family "tRNA". From Rfam's summary of the family: Transfer RNA (tRNA) molecules are approximately 80 nucleotides in length. Their secondary structure includes four short double-helical elements and three loops (D, anti-codon, and T loops). Lineage: Bacteria; Candidatus Bipolaricaulota. The record is from RNAcentral. RNAcentral also lists the same sequence under 1 other name.